This 2346-nucleotide small RNA is filed under the name Pan troglodytes (chimpanzee). RNAcentral's name for it is "processed transcript". The record is from RNAcentral. Lineage: Eukaryota; Metazoa; Chordata; Mammalia; Primates; Hominidae.
GGCAGUGUGUUAAUGAAUCUUUGUUGAACCCUUUUCUUCUAUCAAGGACUGAAAUAUCUGAUUUAAUCUCAGUGGUGCUUAAAAUAAACUUUUGUGGCUGAGUUUACUCAAGCCCUUAUUUGAAAGCUAUUCUUAUAGGCAGGCCCAGAGCUAAAGACUGCCAGCUUGUUGGCCCACUGCUGUCUGUUCCUGGGGGCACAUUGGGAGCCGUCAUCAGGUUUCUUGACUUGGACUUCUGACUUACUACUCUCUGGACAGUCUGGAGAGUAGGUGGAUUUCAGUUCAGUUAUUUUUGAUUGCUUUGUAGCGGAAAUGGAGGAUAAAGUUUUAACUGUGGUCAAGGUUUUAAAUGGCAUCUGUGACAAAACAAUCCGAUCUACCACAGAUCCUGUGAUGAGCCAGUGUGCAUGUCUGGAGGAAGUUCACUUACCAAACAUUAAACCUGGGGAAGGCCUGGGCAUGUACAUCAAAUCAACCUAUGAUGGGUUACACGUGAUUACUGGAACCACAGAAAAUUCUCCUGCAGACAGAUCUCAGAAGAUUCAUGCUGGUGACGAAGUCAUUCAAGUUAAUCAGCAAACUGUGGUGGGAUGGCAGCUGAAAAAUUUGGUGAAGAAAUUGAGAGAGAAUCCCACCGGAGUUGUGUUACUGCUUAAGAAGCGCCCCACCGGGUCUUUCAACUUUACUCCUGCUCCCCUGAAAAACCUACGGUGGAAGCCACCUCUUGUACAGACCUCACCUCCACCCAUGACAACCCAGUCCCCUGAAAGCACUAUGGAUACCUCACUGAAGAGGGAGAAGUCAGCCAUCCUGGAUCUUUAUAUUCCUCCUCCGCCAGCUGUUCCCUACUCUCCCCGGGAUGAGAAUGGCAGUUUUGUUUAUGGAGGGUCCAGUAAGUGCAAACAACCAUUGCCUGGUCCUAAGGGUUCAGAGUCCCCGAAUUCCUUCUUGGACCAGGAAAGCCGGAGACGAAGAUUCACCAUUGCAGACUCGGAUCAGUUGCCUGGGUACUCGGUGGAAACCAACAUUCUGCCCACAAAAAUGAGAGAGAAAACACCAUCUUAUGGCAAGCCGCGGCCUUUGUCCAUGCCUGCUGAUGGGAACUGGAUGGGGAUUGUGGACCCUUUUGCCAGACCUCGAGGUCAUGGCAGGAAAGGGGAGGAUGCCCUUUGCCGGUAUUUCAGUAACGAGCGGAUUCCUCCGAUCAUUGAAGAGAGCUCCUCUCCCCCAUACCGGUUCUCCAGACCCACGACCGAGCGGCAUCUGGUCCGGGGUGCGGACUACAUCCGAGGAAGCAGGUGCUACAUCAACUCAGAUCUCCACAGCAGCGCCACGAUUCCAUUCCAGGAGGAAGGGACCAAAAAGAAAUCUGGCUCCUCAGCUACGAAGUCCUCGUCCGCAGAACCGUCCCUCCUGGUCAGCUGGUUUACGCGCCUCAAACUGUUGACUCACUGAGAGGGACCCUGCUCAGGCCACCUGCCUGGCUCCUGCCCCAAGUGCCUUGCUUUUACAGUGGACAGCCUCUUCUCGUUUCAGCCUCAGUAUUAUGUAGGGACCUUACGCAAUUUCUUUUUUUUUUGAAAAGUUAUCUACUGCCCUUCUUGGAAGUUUGCAGGAUUGGAUGGGAACAAAUUCAGAGGAUCUUAGGUGCUGGCUUGUGGAGACAAAAGGAGGGAAAUGGGUAGAGCCUGUUUGUCUUGCUUCCCCAGAGAUAGAAUGUGAAGACACGCACUAGAAAUCGCAGUCCUGGCCAGAGACGUUAUGGUCAUUGUGAGGGACUGGUGGCAUUGUUCCUUUUUGAGGGGCUGGGGGGACUAAAAUUGGUGGCUAUUUUCACACAGAUGUGUUGGUUUGUGGUCCAACUUCUUUAUCUGAAAAAGCCAGUGAGAAAACAUUUUUGAUUUGAUUUUUCUAAACUAUCUACCAUAUUUUAAGUGUAGCAGCUUUGACUUUGCAAUAACGUGGCAAGUAUCUGAUUUCUCCUUUGAGGCAGAGGUUUAAGUGUAGGCCUGUUACACUUGUUUGAUACCUUUUUCAUGACAGUCUCAGUAUAGAUCAGUUGGUACAGAAAUACAUGAACACAUUUUGAUAGGGCUUAUUUCACACAAAGAAGUUUAUGGUUAUUUGUGUGGGGUGUUGUUGUUAUAUAUUAUUGUCUUUAAGGGAAAAGAAGCUAUAAGAUUCGCUGACAGCCAAAGUAUCAUUUAGAAAAGUGAAGCAACAAGAUUUAGGUUGAUGAAAGAUACAUCAGUUUGCAUUUUGACCUGUUCAGUGUCUGUCUUCCAGCAUGGUGUGUACAGUUCUUCAAAAUUGUACACAGUUUGCUAAUUAGAAAUAUCUUGGAAA